AUGACACCCACGCCACCAACCAUGUCGGCCGCCUCCUCUCCCGUUGCUUACGACCGCGCGGCCGACCUCCGCGCGCUGGACGCCACCUUCGCCGGCGUCACCGGCCUCGUCGCCUCCGGCCUCACGCACGUCCCCUGCAUCUUCCGCGUCCCUGAAGGCCACCACGACAAACAGGACACCACCGUCCUCGCCGGCGGCCAAGAAGAACCAGGGGCCAUCCCGGUGAUCGACCUCGGGUGCGGCGACCACGCGGCCGUGGUUGCCGCCGUCCGCCAGGCCGCGGCAGGGUGCGGGUUCUUCCAGGUGACAGGCCAUGCCGUGCCGGAGGCGGCGAUGGCCGCGGCGACGGACGCUAUGCGGGCGUUCCACGCGGCCGACGGCGGCGAGGGCACCGAGAAGGCGCGGCUCUACUCGCGUGACCCCAUCAAGCCGGUCAAGUACCAGUGCAACUUCGACCUCUACGAGUCGCCGGUGGCCAACUGGCGCGACACGCUCCACAUCCGCAUGGCCCCUGACCCGCCCGACGUCGGCGACAUACCGGAGAGCUGCCGCGAUGCACUGCUUGAAUAUACCGAGCAAGUUAAUAAAUUGGGAAAGACUUUGUUUGAGCUGCUCUCCGAAGCUCUUGGGCUCAAACCAAGCUACCUAACAGACAUGGAGUGCGACCAAGGACAGAUCUUAAUCUGCCACUAUUACCCUCCCUGCCCUCAGCCUAAACUCGCCAUCGGGACAAGCCGGCAUUCAGACGCCGGCUUCCUGACCAUACUCCUCCAAGAUGAAGUCGGCGGUCUACAGAUUUUCAACGAGGACCGGUGGGUAGAUGUCACGCCCACACCCGGAGCAUUCAUUGUGAACAUCGGCGAUCUCUUACAGCUGAUCUCCAAUGACGGGUUCAGGAGUGUGGAGCAUAGGGUGUUGGCGAAGAACGCUGCCCCUAGGGUCUCGAUCGCGUUCUUCUUCAGCACGCAUUUCCAUCCAGCCUCGACGAGGAUGUAUGGUCCAAUCAAGGAGCUGUUGACUGAAGAGAACAAACCAUUAUAUAGGGAAACUCUUGUGAGAGAUUACAUGAAGCAUUAUUUCUCCAUAGGGUUAGAUGCAAAAACUGCUAUUUCUGAUUUCCGGUUAUGA
Molecule: ribosomal RNA, 1128 nt
Filed under: Triticum aestivum (bread wheat)
Lineage: Eukaryota; Viridiplantae; Streptophyta; Magnoliopsida; Poales; Poaceae
Description: partial small subunit ribosomal RNA
Source: RNAcentral